GGUUGUGCCCACCCGGCCGCCUGAUACUUUCGUCUCAACCUCGCUGUCAGAAUGUCGUAGGUGAGCAAAGUUUCAGGUGUGCCGGAACACACCCA
This 95-nucleotide microRNA precursor is filed under the name Caenorhabditis briggsae. Its description in RNAcentral is "microRNA cbr-mir-87 precursor". Its record names the gene cbr-mir-87. The stretch from base 11 to 88 matches the Rfam family "mir-87 microRNA precursor family". Lineage: Eukaryota; Metazoa; Nematoda; Chromadorea; Rhabditida; Rhabditidae. The record is from miRBase by way of RNAcentral.